This 443-nucleotide ribosomal RNA is filed under the name uncultured bacterium. RNAcentral's name for it is "partial 16S ribosomal RNA". It matches the Rfam family "Bacterial small subunit ribosomal RNA", at positions 338 to 795 of the family's 1533-position model. The record is from RNAcentral.
CCCACGGGAGGCAGCAGUGGGGAAUAUUGGGCAAUGGGCGCAAGCCUGACCCAGCAACGCCGCGUGAAGGAAGAAGGCUUUCGGGUUGUAAACUUCUUUUCUCAGGGACGAAGCAAGUGACGGUACCUGAGGAAUAAGCCACGGCUAACUACGUGCCAGCAGCCGCGGUAAUACGUAGGUGGCAAGCGUUAUCCGGAUUUACUGGGUGUAAAGGGCGUGUAGGCGGGAAAGCAAGUCAGAUGUGAAAACCAUGGGCUCAACCUGUGGCCUGCAUUUGAAACUGUUUUUCUUGAGUACUGGAGAGGCAGACGGAAUUCCUAGUGUAGCGGUGAAAUGCGUAGAUAUUAGGAGGAACACCAGUGGCGAAGGCGGUCUGCUGGACAGCAACUGACGCUGAGGCGCGAAAGCGUGGGGAGCAAACAGGAUUAGAUACCCGGGUAGUC